UGUUUUGAUGGCUGUACUCGCAUUCUCAGCCAGCGCUAAUGGAAAACGGUCGGGCGGAAAGCAGGGGGACGUGCAAGAGCUAACAGAGAGUCUUCGCGA
This 99-nucleotide non-coding RNA is filed under the name Geminigera cryophila. Lineage: Eukaryota; Cryptophyceae; Pyrenomonadales; Geminigeraceae. The record is from RNAcentral.